Molecule: ribosomal RNA, 467 nt
Filed under: uncultured bacterium
Lineage: Bacteria
Description: partial 16S ribosomal RNA
Rfam family: Bacterial small subunit ribosomal RNA
Source: RNAcentral
GACGAACGCUGGCGGCGUGCUUAACACAUGCAAGUCGAACGAUGAAGCCCAGCUUGCUGGGUGGAAGAGUGGCGAACGGGUGAGUAACACGUGAGUAACCUGCCCUGAACUCUGGGAUAAGCACUGGAAACGGUGUCUAAUACUGGAUACGACCUAUCACCGCAUGGUGUGUGGGUGGAAAGAUUUAUCGGUUCUGGAUGGACUCGCGGCCUAUCAGCUAGAUGGUGAGGUAAUGGCUCACCAUGGCGACGACGGGUAGCCGGCCUGAGAGGGUGACCGGCCACACUGGGACUGAGACACGGCCCAGACUCCUACGGGAGGCAGCAGUGGGGAAGAUUGCACAAUGGGCGCAAGCCUGAUGCAGCAACGCCGCGUGAGGGAUGACGGCCUUCGGGUUGUAAACCUCUUUUAGUAGGGAAGAAGCGAAAGUGACGGUACCUGCAGAAAAAGCACCGGCUAACUACGUG